GGCUCUGUAGCUCAGUUGGGAGAGCGUCUGUCUGAAGAACAGAAGGUCACCGGAUCGACGCCGGUCGGAGCCA
This 73-nucleotide transfer RNA is filed under the name Actinobaculum massiliense. RNAcentral describes it as "tRNA-Phe". It matches the Rfam family "tRNA". From Rfam's summary of the family: Transfer RNA (tRNA) molecules are approximately 80 nucleotides in length. Their secondary structure includes four short double-helical elements and three loops (D, anti-codon, and T loops). Lineage: Bacteria; Bacillati; Actinomycetota; Actinomycetes; Actinomycetales; Actinomycetaceae. The record is from RNAcentral. RNAcentral also lists the same sequence under 1 other name.